UGCAGUCGAGCGGACUUUUAAAAGCUUGCUUUUAAAAGUUAGCGGCGGACGGGUGAGUAACACGUGGGUAACCUGCCUGUAAGACUGGGAUAACUCCGGGAAACCGGGGCUAAUACCGGAUAACUUUUUUCCUCGCAUGAGGAAAAAUUGAAAGAUGGCUUCGGCUAUCACUUACAGAUGGACCCGCGGCGCAUUAGCUAGUUGGUGAGGUAACGGCUCACCAAGGCAACGAUGCGUAGCCGACCUGAGAGGGUGAUCGGCCACACUGGGACUGAGACACGGCCCAGACUCCUACGGGAGGCAGCAGUAGGGAAUCUUCCGCAAUGGACGAAAGUCUGACGGAGCAACGCCGCGUGAGUGAUGAAGGUCUUCGGAUCGUAAAACUCUGUUGUUAGAGAAGAACAAGUACCGUUCGAAUAGGGCGGUACCUUGACGGUACCUAACCAGAAAGCCACGGCUAACUACGUGCCAGCAGCCGCGGUAAUACGUAGGUGGCAAGCGUUGUCCGGAAUUAUUGGGCGUAAAGCGCGCGCAGGCGGUUUCUUAAGUCUGAUGUGAAAGCCCACGGCUCAACCGUGGAGGGUCAUUGGAAACUGGGAGACUUGAGUGCAGAAGAGGAGAGUGGAAUUCCACGUGUAGCGGUGAAAUGCGUAGAGAUGUGGAGGAACACCAGUGGCGAAGGCGACUCUCUGGUCUGUAACUGACGCUGAGGCGCGAAAGCGUGUGGAGCGAACAGGAUUAGAUACCCUGGUAGUCCACGCCGUAAACGAUGAGUGCUAAGUGUUAGAGGGUUUCCGCCCUUUAGUGCUGCAGCUAACGCAUUAAGCACUCCGCCUGGGGAGUACGGCCGCAAGGCUGAAACUCAAAGGAAUUGACGGGGGCCCGCACAAGCGGU
This 895-nucleotide ribosomal RNA is filed under the name Heyndrickxia shackletonii. Its description in RNAcentral is "bacterial SSU rRNA". It matches the Rfam family "Bacterial small subunit ribosomal RNA", at positions 56 to 933 of the family's 1533-position model. Lineage: Bacteria; Bacillati; Bacillota; Bacilli; Caryophanales; Bacillaceae. The record is from RNAcentral.